This 897-nucleotide ribosomal RNA is filed under the name Neoacremonium vitellinum. RNAcentral's name for it is "LSU rRNA". It matches the Rfam family "Eukaryotic large subunit ribosomal RNA", at positions 35 to 965 of the family's 3401-position model. The record is from RNAcentral. Lineage: Eukaryota; Fungi; Ascomycota; Sordariomycetes; Hypocreales; Neoacremoniaceae.
UAAGCAUAUCAAUAAGCGGAGGAAAAGAAACCAACAGGGAUUGCCCUAGUAACGGCGAGUGAAGCGGCAACAGCUCAAAUUUGAAAUCUGGCCCUCGGGUCCGAGUUGUAAUUUGCAGAGGAUGCUUUGGGCGCGGCGCCUUCCGAGUUCCCUGGAACGGGACGCCACAGAGGGUGAGAGCCCCGUCUGGUUGGAUGCCUAGCCUAUGUAAAGCUCCUUCGACGAGUCGAGUAGUUUGGGAAUGCUGCUCUAAAUGGGAGGUACAUGCCUUCUAAAGCUAAAUACCGGCCAGAGACCGAUAGCGCACAAGUAGAGUGAUCGAAAGAUGAAAAGCACUUUGAAAAGAGGGUUAAAUAGUACGUGAAAUUGUUGAAAGGGAAGCGCUUGUGACCAGACUUGGGCUUGGUGAAUCAUCCAGCGUUCUCGCUGGUGCACUUUGCCGGUCCAGGCCAGCAUCAGCUCGCGGCGGGGGAUAAAGGCUUCGGGAAUGUGGCUCCCUCGGGAGUGUUAUAGACCGUUGUGUAAUACCCUGCUGUGGGCUGAGGUUCGCGCUCUGCACGGAUGCUGGCGUAAUGGUCAUCAGCGACCCGUCUUGAAACACGGACCAAGGAGUCGUCUUCGUAUGCGAGUGUUCGGGUGUCAAACCCCUACGCGUAAUGAAAGUGAACGCAGGUGAGAGCUUCGGCGCAUCAUCGACCGAUCCUGAUGUUCUCGGAUGGAUUUGAGUAAGAGCAUACGGGGCCGGACCCGAAAGAAGGUGAACUAUGCCUGUAUAGGGUGAAGCCAGAGGAAACUCUGGUGGAGGCUCGCAGCGGUUCUGACGUGCAAAUCGAUCGUCAAAUAUGGGCAUGGGGGCGAAAGACUAAUCGAACCUUCUAGUAGCUGGUUUCCGCCGAA